RNAcentral lists this ribosomal RNA (433 nucleotides) under uncultured bacterium. RNAcentral describes it as "partial 16S ribosomal RNA". It matches the Rfam family "Bacterial small subunit ribosomal RNA", at positions 29 to 507 of the family's 1533-position model. The record is from RNAcentral.
AACGAACGCUGGCGGCAUGCCUAACACAUGCAAGUCGAACGAGACCUUCGGGUCUAGUGGCGCACGGGUGCGUAACGCGUGGGAACCUGCCCUUAGGUUCGGAAUAACUCCCCGAAAGGGGUGCUAAUACCGGAUAAUGUCUUCGGACCAAAGAUUUAUCGCCUUUGGAUGGGCCCGCGUUGGAUUAGCUCGUUGGUAGGGUAAAAGCCUACCAAGGCGACGAUCCAUAGCUGGUCUGAGAGGAUGAUCAGCCACACUGGGACUGAGACACGGCCCAGACUCCUACGGGAGGCAGCAGUGGGGAAUAUUGGACAAUGGGCGAAAGACUGAUCCAGCAAUGCCGCGUGAGUGAUGAAGGCCUUAGGGUUGUAAAGCUCUUUUACCCGGGAUGAUAAUGACAGUACCGGGAGAAUAAGCGCCGGCUAACUCCGUG